Molecule: transfer RNA, 74 nt
Filed under: Caedimonas sp.
Lineage: Bacteria; Pseudomonadati; Pseudomonadota; Alphaproteobacteria; Holosporales; Caedimonadaceae
Also listed under: 1 other name
Description: tRNA-Gly
Rfam family: tRNA
About the family: Transfer RNA (tRNA) molecules are approximately 80 nucleotides in length.
Source: RNAcentral
GCGGGUGUAGCUCAAUGGCAGAGCAGAAGCUUCCCAAGCUUACGACGAGGGUUCGAUUCCCUUCAUCCGCUCCA